Molecule: long non-coding RNA, 234 nt
Filed under: Phoenix dactylifera (date palm)
Lineage: Eukaryota; Viridiplantae; Streptophyta; Magnoliopsida; Arecales; Arecaceae
Description: long non-coding RNA (PDAC_LNC009126)
Source: RNAcentral
CUCUUCAAGGACUCGAAGCCAAUUCACAAUUGUUGCACUCCCAUACCCAGUCUAUUGCUAAAUUAGAAACCCAGCUAGGGCAGUUAGCGAGUGCACUAAAUAAAAGAGAGGAAGGCAAGCUUCCAAGCCAACCAGUGAGUAACCCGAGAGGGCAAUACAUGGCUCAAGAGACUCAACCGAAUGAUGUUCACCAUGAACAAGCCAAUGCCAUGACCACCUUAAGAAACGGACGCA